GUGGCCGAGCCGACCACACGGCCACACCAGCGUGUUCCUCGUUGCUCUGACACUCGCCCGGCGCCACUCGCACCACGCGCCACAUACGCGGCCUGUCCUCUCCCCUCCCCCCUAACCCUCCCCUCUCUACAACACCCCUUCCUUUUUCUCUCUCCCCCUGUCUCUCUCUCUCUCACUCACUCACUCGCACUCGGCACCGCGGAGUCUCUGGCGCCAAGGAUAACCUGGCUCCUGACGUCCCCCUUCACGUGGCCCGACCUGUGGUGGCUCCCCGCCCAAGGACUGGAUUAAGGACUAUGACAUGAUCACACGUGGGAUGCGUUGGUUAUUUUUGUAGUAAUUGAUGGAAGCAGGCGAGUUCGUAAGGCAAAGUCCCUCGUGAAAGAGUUGCGAAAUUGUUUGUGCAGUGGCGAGGGAACCCGAGAAAGUGUGCGACCUCGCGGGCAGGACCUUCGGCAGGUGAGCGCCAAAGAAGGAAGGAGGCAGCGGAAGGCCCAGCAGAAGGAAGGAGAAGAAGGAAGAGGAUCCCGGAGGAGGAGGAGGAGAAGAAGGACGACGACGAGGAGGAGGAGGAGGAGGAGCAGGAGGUCAGCGGGAUGAAGGGUGGCCAUGGUGGCGGUGGGCGUGGGUAGUGGGCGGCAUGGAGUCUUGUGUGUCGCAGCACUACGUUACCCCGGGCGCCACCUCCCUGCCCAUGGGCGAAUACGUCCAGGUGCCUCCCGACAUGGGCGGCCACCCGUGCACCCCCGCGAUGAGCUCGUACCUCGAGUCGCUGCCCCCGGGCGUGGGCAUGCCGGAGUACCCUUGGAUGAAGGAAAAGAAGACGGUGAGGAAGCCAGCCCAGCAAGGGCGAUACCUGCAAGGUAUGCCCACUCCACCCGGAGCCACGAUCAACUGCCCUACCGUUGCCACAGAGCAUCCUAUCAAAUCUUGUAAGUAGUUCCUAUUCUCUUCGUUGUAAUUAAUAUUUCUCAUAUUAGUUACUAUGAAUUGAUGAAUAUUUCCCCCCCUUUUAGUCAUUUCUUUCACGUAGGUACGUAGUGACAUGACGCAUUUCUUUCGCCAUGAGAAUAGCCUAACCUCAUCGUCGGCUUUACAAUGGGUCUCGUUAAUCACCAUUGUGACGGCUUUAAUCCACUCUCAUGACUAUUACAUGAUUUCGCAAUUAACACAUCGCAACUCGUUAGUGGCCAUCAGCGACCUCGAAGAUCCA
RNAcentral lists this long non-coding RNA (1213 nucleotides) under Penaeus japonicus. Its description in RNAcentral is "uncharacterized LOC122258544". The record is from RNAcentral. Lineage: Eukaryota; Metazoa; Arthropoda; Malacostraca; Decapoda; Penaeidae.